Molecule: long non-coding RNA, 336 nt
Organism: Synchiropus splendidus (mandarinfish)
Lineage: Eukaryota; Metazoa; Chordata; Actinopteri; Syngnathiformes; Callionymidae
Exons: 4
Source: RefSeq, a predicted model, not a curated record
UCUGAAAAUAUUCAGACGUUGAACCUGUCAUAGGAGCAUCUGGAAAUUCUACGAAAAUGAGAAUUCCGUUUUGGUUUCUGUUCUUUGCCUUGCUGGCUGCGAUGAGUGCAUUCCAGGUGAACGCUGCAAGAGGUGGGAAAAGUAGUGACUCCAACUCCGAAGAAGAGCAAACUAUUUUUGCGAAACAACACAGGAGACAGAGGAGGGCUGUCAAGGCCGAUUACUGAAGCUUCUCGGCCAUCAGACCUGAUCUUCAGUGCCACAUCAGCUGGGAUGUUGCCUCUGAAUUAAAAAGAGGCCAACUUUAAUGGCUCAAUAAAAUGUGGUGAUAAGACA